This 65-nucleotide transfer RNA is filed under the name Enicmus brevicornis. RNAcentral describes it as "tRNA-Ser". The record is from RNAcentral. Lineage: Eukaryota; Metazoa; Arthropoda; Insecta; Coleoptera; Latridiidae.
AUCAAUGAACUUGUAUAAGUAUAUAUUUUGAAAAUAUAAAAAAGAGAAUGAUCCUCUAUUGAUUU